Molecule: long non-coding RNA, 225 nt
Filed under: Mytilus galloprovincialis (Mediterranean mussel)
Lineage: Eukaryota; Metazoa; Mollusca; Bivalvia; Mytilida; Mytilidae
Source: RNAcentral
GGUCCUCAAUGCUCUUCAACUUCGUACUUUAUUUGGCCUUUUUAACUUUUUUGGAUUCGAGCGUCACUGAUGAGUCUUUUGUAGACGAAACGUGCGUCUGGCGUAUAUACUAAAUUUAGUCCUUGUAUCUAUGAUGAGUUUAUUUACAACCAAUGGGUCGAUGCCACUGCUGAUGGAGAUUUAUUUCCCCGAGGGUAUCACAAGCCCAGUAGUCAGCACAUUUUG